Molecule: small nuclear RNA, 24 nt
Filed under: Arabidopsis thaliana (thale cress)
Lineage: Eukaryota; Viridiplantae; Streptophyta; Magnoliopsida; Brassicales; Brassicaceae
Description: snRNA_11814
Source: RNAcentral
AAACAAACAUCAUUCAAAUGCAUC